RNAcentral lists this ribosomal RNA (504 nucleotides) under uncultured bacterium. Its description in RNAcentral is "bacterial SSU rRNA". It matches the Rfam family "Bacterial small subunit ribosomal RNA", at positions 17 to 518 of the family's 1533-position model. The record is from RNAcentral.
UCCUGGCUCAGGAUGAACGCUGGCGGCGUGCCUAAUACAUGCAAGUCGUGCGAGGUAGCUUGCUACCUAGCGGCGAACGGGUGAGUAACACGUAGGUAACCUGCCUUUAAGACUGGGAUACCCAGAGGAAACUUUGGCUAAUACCGGAUAACAACGGGUGCGGCAUCGCAUCCGCUUGAAAGUCGCGUUUGCGGCACUUUUAGAUGGACCUGCGGAACAUUAGCUAGUUGGUGAGAUAACAGCCCACCAAGGCGAGGAUGUUUAGCCGACCUGAGAGGGUGAACGGCCACAAUGGGACUGAGACACGGCCCAUACUCCUACGGGAGGCAGCAGUAGGGAGUUUUCGGCAAUGGGCGAAAGCCUGACCGAGCAACGCCGCGUGAGUGAGAAGGUCUUCGGAUUGUAAUACUCUGUUGUAAGGGAAGAAGGCUUGCUUCAGGAAAUGGGAGCGAGAUUGACGGUACCUUACCAGAAAGGGACGGCUAACUACGUGCCAGCCGCGGC